GGUUUGGAUUUGUCGAAGAAAUUUUGCUCGAAUCGCUGUAGAUGUCGUCUUUCAAUAUACUAGAUUUUUCUCAAACUAUUGAACUGAUUAUGACAAAACUUGACAGAAAUGCUUGAAAUAACCAGUAUUACAAAGGGAAAAAGUCACAUUUAGUUUAUUGAACAAAAAGGUCUUCUUUAGGUGUAAUACCACCAAAUCAUGGUACGUCACAUCCGGUUGCAUACGAAAGUAGGUCUAAAAAAAUAUUCCCUUGAAUUUGACCAUUGUAGGUAAUUAAUCCUACAUUUUAUUGCAGUAAAACUAUUUCUGUGUCAUAAACAUAUGUCUUGGGUAUUUCAAAACACCACUAUUUUUUAUUUGUGAUUUCUAUAGAAAAUUUUGUAAUCUUGGGGUUACAUGGUGACUAAACCUUGUACACAGAUAGAAUAAGGGGAGAAAUUUGAUUGGUUAACUUACAAUGAUGGUUAUUUUCUUAUAUGCAAUGAAAUGUUAUGUGAAACUUUUUCUAUAGAACUGGACAGGAUAAAACUUUACUCAUGCC
This 541-nucleotide long non-coding RNA is filed under the name Mytilus galloprovincialis (Mediterranean mussel). Lineage: Eukaryota; Metazoa; Mollusca; Bivalvia; Mytilida; Mytilidae. The record is from RNAcentral.